Molecule: long non-coding RNA, 993 nt
Filed under: Elaeis guineensis (African oil palm)
Lineage: Eukaryota; Viridiplantae; Streptophyta; Magnoliopsida; Arecales; Arecaceae
Description: long non-coding RNA (EGUI_LNC043903)
Source: RNAcentral
AUGGCCAGUUCCACUCUAACCGAUUUUCUUAAAUAAUGGACCUCUGGUAGUUCCCGAACUUCGGCAUUAGAAGAGGGAUCGGACAUCGAACAUCAGUUAAUUCUCUUGAAGGCAAGUUGAAAGGUCACUUGUGACUUUUGGUUAAAGUACAUCAAAUCAGGACAUAUUACCAUCAUCUCACUCGCCAUUCAUACGUCUAUUCAACCCAAGUCAUAUCUCUUUUCUUGCCGGCAAUACGUCAGAUAAGAAUCAACCUAUCAACAACACACGUGAUGAAAUCUGUAUGAUUCAUCAUUACUAAUCUCCCUAUAAAUAGAGAUAAAAAAAGACUCUCGGGUACACCCCAUGUGUGCUCCAUGCACUCUGUGCUCUCCUACAAUUUUCUCUCCUUUAUUGUGUCAGAUUCCUGACUUGACUGUCGGAGAGUCGUCGCUGGAGCCAACUUCGAUCGGGAUUUGUUUUACAGGAACACUUCGGUGGUCCUUAACUUACUCCAGCCAUAUUCGUACGUGGUCGAAAAUCUUUCGCAACAGAUUGGUGCUAGAAGAAGGGUCAGGCCAUCUUUGAGAAGGAGAAAAGAAAGCUAUUUAACUACCAUAGCACCACGUAAAGAAGCAUCUUCUCAUUGGUCAAAUAUUGCUGUUUCUCAAUCUGUAGAUAAUUCUCCCAACCAGCAAGCUCCGGCACCGUCAUUGGAUAAUCCACUGUCGGUCGCUCCGCUUUCUGGAGCGAUUGUCAGCAUGGACCAGUUCAACCUCUAGUUCAGCAAGUUCGAGAUCUAACCGCAACAGUCUAAGUGAUGCAACAGAAUAACCCUCUACCAUCUGCCAUAUUUUUAACCGAGCAUCCUCAAGUUCCCCCACAAAGACAGACUCACCAGAGUUGCCUAAAAGAGUUGGAGCAUGGUGCAUGGUGGUUUCGGAGUCUUCACUCAGAGUACGACUCUGCUUCGGGUCAUACCUAUUCUCCUCCUUUUAGGGCAUAUACCAUCAG